CUAUCUGUCAUGCGGCCUCCACCAGGCUGCAGGAUAUGAGGGCCAUUUAAUUAGGCCCUGCACCACUCUCGGGUGUGAAAAGGCUCUCAAACGCUUUGAUUCCCCGCUGCUUCGCAGCAGGAAGUUGUUGGCGAUAAUUGACAUAGGAUUUCCUUGUUAACCAGCAGCAGACACGCCGGAUUAAAGCGAUAGAGAUCUCGAGAAGAAAGUGAAAGAGAUAAGAAGCUCGGAAGACUUCUGCUUAUUUGGCACUUGAGGAUGGCAGGAAACAGCAAUAACCUACUCAAGUGGCGACUCUAGAGUGGAAGGGCGUCCCCUUAUCAGACCCAUUUCAGCUUGGCUGAUCAAAGAUUGACUCCCCGCAAAAUCACAUAGGCCUGGGGUUUGUUAGUUUAUUAAGCGGCAGGUUUUAGGAAUUAUCACAGGUUUAAAGAUGGAUUGCAGUUUAUGUGAAGGGGGAGAGGAUUAUCGGGUUUUCAUCUUAACAAUUAUAAAAUAUCACAGCUGAAAGCUUGCUUGCAAAUGACAUAAUUUUCCACUGCCAUCUAAACAGGUCAUUGUGAGGCUGCCUGUGAGCGCACUCAACGAGGGAGGAAAUACAGGCAAAUUAACUCUGGGGAGGACCGGGGAUGAGGGGCCUCCACGCCUUGUUCCACUUCGGAAGACGGUGCGAUCUCAUUUUGCCCUGUGCGAUUCCUUAGAAGAUACUCAGCUAGAAGAUUCCUCUGUGAGGCUGCUAGUACUUCUCCAGCAGACCAAGCCAGGAGAGCUUUCUCAAAAAUUUUACCAGAUUUUCCAGGGGUUCUCAAAGAUUGUCUGCAAACCAGCGCUGAUAAAUUAUUGCAGCUUCUUGAGUCUAUAGAGAGAGACCUUUAUGCUCUCUCUACUAGGAAGUAAUGCUUUUUUCCCUGAGAUUAUGUUCUUUCUAAAAUUUUUAUGUGCUUUUAAAAUUUCAUGUGUGUAUUAACAUGUCCUUUCUUUAUAGAAUGUUAAAGACAAUAUAUAAAUUUCUGAAAAGAUUUGAAUGAUUUGAUUUGGCAAAAUAAAGAAUUGCCAAUCCUACAUAGAGCUCCAUACACCAAUUUUUAAAAAUAAUUUUAUUGCUUCACAAAAUCUGGGAACCACUGGAUAUAUGAAGUAUCUCUUUUAGCUAAAGCAAAGUCAACUCUCACCCUAGAAAAAAGUUCAUUUUUUGAUCUGUUUUUAUUUUUCUGUGGCAAAAAGUGCUUUUGUGAUGCCUC
This 1241-nucleotide long non-coding RNA is filed under the name Pan paniscus (pygmy chimpanzee). RNAcentral describes it as "lncRNA (ENSPPAG00000044788.1)". Lineage: Eukaryota; Metazoa; Chordata; Mammalia; Primates; Hominidae. The record is from RNAcentral.